GUGACGCUGUGGGGUGACGCUAUGGGGCUGCCCCACAGCUACCCCAUGGCGUUGGGCAACCUGGCCGACCUGGAGGAGUUGGAGCCGACGCCGGGGCGGCCGGACCCACUGACGCUGUACCAUGAGGUGGGGGGCGGCGCCGCUAUGGGGCAGGGUCGCUAUGGGGCGGCGUCUCUCUCUAUGGGUCUCUAAGGGAUCUCUGUGGGUCUCUCUGGGGUUCUAUGGGUCUCUAUGGGGCGGCGUCUCUCUCUAUGGGUCUCUAUGGGUCUCUAUGGGGCGGCGUCUCUAUGGGGCUCUAUGGGUCUCUAUGGGGUGGCGUCUCUACGGGUCUCUAUGGGGUUCUGUGGGUCUCUAUGGGGUGGCGUCUCUACAGGGCAUCUCUAUGGGUCUCUAUGGG
RNAcentral lists this long non-coding RNA (397 nucleotides) under Phasianus colchicus (ring-necked pheasant). RNAcentral describes it as "lncRNA (ENSPCLG00000019011.1)". The record is from RNAcentral. Lineage: Eukaryota; Metazoa; Chordata; Aves; Galliformes; Phasianidae.